CAUUAGAAGUCCCAGACAAACAUCUGGGACUUUACAGAGCUGGUAAAUGGUUCAGAAAGCGUUGUUAUAAGACUUGAGUUGUCCUUAUCAUCAGGGAAGACAAAAAAAGUAUACGAGAUAUGAGCCACGCUUUCUAGUGUGCUUCUAAGAGGUACUUAGAUGCUGUAAUAGAGAGCAUUGCCUCUCAGAUGUUCUGGGAAAGGCCAGGUGGCAGUUCAGUGUGUCUGCAGUCCUUAUAUGGGAUACAUAUGUGCUUUUUCCUAAAUUAUCUCUUCCUAGUAGAAUCAUACUGUUUGUUUAUUUCUGUUAUUGAAACUUACACAUUUAUCCUUAGAAUUAUGCCUAUUGGGUUGUAUUCCUAUCUACUUUUGUACAAUACUAUUUUGGUGUAUUCUUAUGCCACUUUAAUGAAUAUACCUGCAUAUGGUGAACUCCAUUACCUCCAGUAUUUCCUCUACAUAUUUCUACAUUGAAUUCCAAAGUUUUCCUGGUUUUUUGGUUGAUAUAUUCUUCUAGAGCCAUUGUAUGGAAACUGUUGAAUCACAGCUGGAACCUCUGAUUGACCACCUGAGGCAAGCACUGAGUCAGCCAUGAGAGCACAGGUGAAGGCAAUUCACCUGUGUGACCAGAAGGGGUGGAGCCAGGCUCCACCUCUCCUAGACCCCAUUUAAGGUCUGACUGCCACUGAGGAAGGAUCUCUUCCUGGAGGUUGCUCCUUGUGGAGUUUUUGUGAGCCUACCACACUGUGAGCCUUUUACAUCAUGGGUCCAAAUCUGAAGUAAAAAUCUAUGACAAAAGUAACCUGCAGCCCAUCAUCUGCACAGACCAGAAGAAAAAUGUGUUUUAAAGGCACUUCAGAGAUGCAUUCAACUUCACUAGUUUAUGUGCAAUACAGAAUAUCUUCAGAAUCACUCAAGAACAAGAAGUUAUGUUUAUUUGAUUCCACCUCUCUGGGUGUUUCAUACUAUACUUCAUAUGAAGUUGAAUGGUUGUGACUGGGAGUGAGGCUGCGAAUUGACAAGACCUUGCAGUGCCCAUCUAUGGAUUGCUCUUGAAGCAACUAGUUUUACUGGACUGGCCAAGGAGAAGAUGAGUCUUCAAAAAGUACAAAAGCUCUGGGGUAGGAACAAGAUGACCAAGACUACCUGACACAAAAAUGAAUUUAAGGUAAUGAGCAGAAAAUUACUUAAAAACCAGUAUGAUUAGUGGCUUUCAGAGAGCAGAUCUGUGCGAAUGAGAGGAGAAGCUGGUUUCUGGAUUUUAUGAUAGUCCCAGAGGGAAACAGACACUGAGAUGGGACCAAGAGCUAUAGAAUAUGCAAAUGAGAAAACACUGGAAAUACAGGG
Molecule: long non-coding RNA, 1346 nt
Filed under: Gallus gallus (chicken)
Lineage: Eukaryota; Metazoa; Chordata; Aves; Galliformes; Phasianidae
Description: lncRNA (ENSGALG00010018262.1)
Source: RNAcentral